RNAcentral lists this ribosomal RNA (465 nucleotides) under uncultured bacterium. Its description in RNAcentral is "partial 16S ribosomal RNA". It matches the Rfam family "Bacterial small subunit ribosomal RNA", at positions 339 to 795 of the family's 1533-position model. The record is from RNAcentral.
CUACGGGCUGCUCCAGUGGGGAAUUUUGCGCAAUGGGCGAAAGCUUGACGCAGCAACGCCGCGUGACCGAUGAAGCAUUUAGGUGUGUAAAGGUCUGUCGUUAGGGAAGAAUAGAUUGGUGGUUAAUACCCUCCGGUCCUGACGGUACCUAACAAGAAAGCUCCGGCUAGCUCCGUGCCAGCAGCCGCGGUAAUACGGGGGGAGCAAGCGUUAUCCGGAAUUACUGGGCGUAAAGGGCACGUAGGCGGGUUCUUAAGUCAGAUUUUAAAUCCAACAGCUUAACUGUUGACCUGGAUCUGAAACUGGGAGUCUUGAAUACAAAAGAGGAAAGCGGAAUUCCUGGUGUAGCGGUGAAAUGCGUAGAUAUCAGGAAGAACACCGGUGGCGAAGGCGGCUUUCUGGUUUGUUAUUGACGCUGAUGUGCGAAAGCGUGGGGAGCGAACAGGAUUAGAUACCCCUGUAGUC